RNAcentral lists this ribosomal RNA (493 nucleotides) under uncultured bacterium. Its description in RNAcentral is "partial 16S ribosomal RNA". It matches the Rfam family "Bacterial small subunit ribosomal RNA", at positions 8 to 526 of the family's 1533-position model. The record is from RNAcentral.
AGAGUUUGAUCCUGGCUCAGGAUGAACGCUGGCGGCGUGCCUAACACAUGCAAGUCGAACGGAGCCGCAAGGUUCUAGUGGCGCACGGGUGAGGAACACGUAGCUGACCUGCCUUCGAGCGUGGGAUAACGUGUCGAAAGACACGCUAAUACCGCGUAAGCUCACGGACUUUAGAGGUCUGGGAGAAAAGGGGAAACCCGCUUGAAGAGGGGGCUGCGGCCCAUCAGGUAGUUGGUGCGGUAACGGCGCACCAAGCCAACGACGGGUCGGGGGUCUGAGAGGAUGACCCCCCACACUGGGACUGAGACACGGCCCAGACUCCUACGGGAGGCAGCAGUGAGGGAUCUUGCACAAUGGGGGAAACCCUGAUGCAGCGACGCCGCGUGGGUGAUGAAGGUCUUCGGAUCGUAAAACCCUUUUGCCACUGACGAGACAAGGACGGUAGGUGGCGAAUAAGCUUCGGCUAACUACGUGCCAGCAGCCGCGGUAAUUC